AUACGGAGGGUGCGAGCGUUAAUCGGAAUUACUGGGCGUAAAGCGCGCGUAGGUGGUUAAUUAAGUCAGAUGUGAAAGCCCAGGGCUCAACCUUGGAACUGCAUUUGAAACUGGUUGACUAGAGUUUUGUAGAGGGUGGUAGAAUUUCAGGUGUAGCGGUGAAAUGCGUAGAGAUCUGAAGGAAUACCAGUGGCGAAGGCGGCCACCUGGACAGAGACUGACACUGAGGCGCGAAGGCGUGGGGAGCAAACGGGAUUAGAUACCCCGGUAGUCCACGCAGUAAACGAUGUCUAUUAGAAGUUUGUGGCUAUAUGCCGUGGGUUUCAAAGCUAACGCAUUAAAUAGACCGCCUGGGGAGUACGGCCGCAAGGUUAAA
This 376-nucleotide ribosomal RNA is filed under the name uncultured bacterium. RNAcentral's name for it is "bacterial SSU rRNA". It matches the Rfam family "Bacterial small subunit ribosomal RNA", at positions 523 to 898 of the family's 1533-position model. The record is from RNAcentral.